UAAGUUAGGCAGUGUCUUUGGUUUUCAUGUAGUCCAAUAUCUUGCUGAUGCCUGAGAUUUCCCCAAAUGUGGGAAACUCAACCACAUAAUUUGUGGGAGUGGGGGACUGUGCUCGCCCUUUCCCCUG
Molecule: small nuclear RNA, 127 nt
Filed under: Mustela putorius furo (domestic ferret)
Lineage: Eukaryota; Metazoa; Chordata; Mammalia; Carnivora; Mustelidae
Description: U1 spliceosomal RNA (ENSMPUG00000023123.1)
Rfam family: U1 spliceosomal RNA
About the family: U1 is a small nuclear RNA (snRNA) component of the spliceosome (involved in pre-mRNA splicing). Its 5' end forms complementary base pairs with the 5' splice junction, thus defining the 5' donor site of an intron. There are significant differences in sequence and secondary structure between metazoan and yeast U1 snRNAs, the latter being much longer (568 nucleotides as compared to 164 nucleotides in human).
Source: RNAcentral